CAUGCAGUCGGACGGCAGCACAGAGAAGCUUGCUUCUUGGGUGGCGAGUGGCGAACGGGUGAGUAAUAUAUCGGAACGUACCGAGUAAUGGGGGAUAACUAAUCGAAAGAUUAGCUAAUACCGCAUAUUCUCUGAGGAGGAAAGCAGGGGACCUUCGGGCCUUGCGUUAUUCGAGCGGCCGAUAUCUGAUUAGCUAGUUGGUGGGGUAAAGGCCUACCAAGGCGACGAUCAGUAGCGGGUCUGAGAGGAUGAUCCGCCACACUGGGACUGAGACACGGCCCAGACUCCUACGGGAGGCAGCAGUGGGGAAUUUUGGACAAUGGGCGCAAGCCUGAUCCAGCCAUGCCGCGUGUCUGAAGAAGGCCUUCGGGUUGUAAAGGACUUUUGUCAGGGAAGAAAAGGCUGUUGCUAAUACCGACAGCUGAUGACGGUACCUGAAGAAUAAGCACCGGCUAACUACGUGCCAGCAGCCGCGGUAAUACGUAGGGUGCGAGCGUUAAUCGGAAUUACUGGGCGUAAAGCGAGCGCAGACGGUUACUUAAGCAGGAUGUGAAAUCCCCGGGCUCAACCUGGGAACUGCGUUCUGAACUGGGUGACUAGAGUGUGUCAGAGGGAGGUAGAAUUCCACGUGUAGCAGUGAAAUGCGUAGAGAUGUGGAGGAAUACCGAUGGCGAAGGCAGCCUCCUGGGAUAACACUGACGUUCAUGCUCGAAAGCGUGGGUAGCAAACAGGAUUAGAUACCCUGGUAGUCCACGCCCUAAACGAUGUCAAUUAGCUGUUGGGCAACUUGAUUGCUUAGUAGCGUAGCUAACGCGUGAAAUUGACCGCCUGGGGAGUACGGUCGCAAGAUUAAAACUCAAAGGAAUUGACGGGGACCCGCACAAGCGGUGGAUGAAGUUGGAUUAAUUCGAUGCAACGCGAAGAACCUUACCUGGUCUUGACAUGUACGGAAUCCUCCAGAGAACGGAGGAGUGCCUUCGGGAACCGUAACACAGGUGCUGCAUGGCUGUCGUCAGCUCGUGUCGUGAGAUGUUUGGGUUAAGUCCCGCAACGAGCGCAACCCUUGUCAUUAGUUGCCAUCAUUUAGUUGGGCACUCUAAUGAGACUGCCGGUGGGAUGCGCUGCUUUACCAUGCAGUCGGACGGCAGCACAGAGAAGCUUGCUUCUUGGGUGGCGAGUGGCGAACGGGUGAGUAAUAUAUCGGAACGUACCGAGUAAUGGGGGAUAACUAAUCGAAAGAUUAGCUAAUACCGCAUAUUCUCUGAGGAGGAAAGCAGGGGACCUUCGGGCCUUGCGUUAUUCGAGCGGCCGAUAUCUGAUUAGCUAGUUGGUGGGGUAAAGGCCUACCAAGGCGACG
RNAcentral lists this ribosomal RNA (1357 nucleotides) under Neisseria sp. 260. RNAcentral describes it as "bacterial SSU rRNA". It matches the Rfam family "Bacterial small subunit ribosomal RNA", at positions 54 to 1195 of the family's 1533-position model. Lineage: Bacteria; Pseudomonadati; Pseudomonadota; Betaproteobacteria; Neisseriales; Neisseriaceae. The record is from RNAcentral.